This 240-nucleotide unclassified non-coding RNA is filed under the name fungal sp. Its description in RNAcentral is "partial internal transcribed spacer region". The stretch from base 1 to 46 matches the Rfam family "Eukaryotic small subunit ribosomal RNA", at positions 1786 to 1831 of the family's 1831-position model. Lineage: Eukaryota; Fungi. The record is from RNAcentral.
AAGUCGUAACAAGGUAACCGUAGGUGAACCUGCGGUUGGAUCAUUAAUAAAUUUAUAAAGGUUAAAGGUCUUUACAGAUCUUUAACUCUUUAACAAAUUUGUGAACUUUAUUAAAGUCUUUUGGGAUGGUAGUAAUAUUAUCCCAAAAACCCCUUUAAACAAUUUAUAUUUUUUUAAGUCUUUAACAACCUUUAAAUUUAAUUUAAAAAACAACUUUUGACAACGGAUCUCUUGGCUCUC